RNAcentral lists this transfer RNA (88 nucleotides) under Alienimonas californiensis. RNAcentral's name for it is "Planctomycetes bacterium CA12 tRNA-Asp". Lineage: Bacteria; Pseudomonadati; Planctomycetota; Planctomycetia; Planctomycetales; Planctomycetaceae. The record is from RNAcentral.
GUCGUCCAUGCCGAACUGCUGGACGGCCGCGGCGCUGUCGCCGCCGCCGAUGAUGCUGAUCGCCCCGUUCCGGGUCGCCGCGGCGACG